Molecule: non-coding RNA, 72 nt
Organism: Rhipicephalus microplus (southern cattle tick)
Lineage: Eukaryota; Metazoa; Arthropoda; Arachnida; Ixodida; Ixodidae
Source: the annotation of a RefSeq genome assembly
ACCACCGUAGCUCAAUGGUAGAGCGUCGGACACGCUAUUCGAAGGUUGCAGGUUCGGAUCCUGCCGGUGGCA